UCGAGAAUCUUCCGCAAUGGACGAAAGUCUGACGGAGCGACGCCGCGUGCGGGAUGAAGGCCCUUGGGUUGUAAACCGCUUUCGGAGGGGAUGAAAUCCUCGAGGGUACUCCCUCGAGGUUGACAGAGCCUCAAAAGAAGCACGGGCUAAGUACGUGCCAGCAGCCGCGGUAACACGUACUGUGCGAACGUUAUUCGGAAUCACUGGGCUUAAAGGGUGCGUAGGCGGCGAUUCAAGUCAGAUGUGAAA
Molecule: ribosomal RNA, 249 nt
Filed under: uncultured bacterium
Lineage: Bacteria
Description: partial 16S ribosomal RNA
Rfam family: Bacterial small subunit ribosomal RNA
Source: RNAcentral